CUCUUCUUGAAUAUAUUUUGAUGUAUGGCCUGCCCACUGAAUGUUGAAGGGCCGCGGUAUUUUGACCGUGCAAAGGUAGCAUAAUCAUUAGUCUUUUAAUUGUAGGCUGGAAUGAAUGGUUUGACGAGGUGUUAACUGUCUUUAAUUUUUUUUAUUGAAUUUAAAUUUUAGGUUAAAAUGCCUAAAUAUUUUUUUGGGACGAGAAGACCCUAUAGAGUUUUAUAUAUUUUUAUUUUUUUGUAUGAUAAUUUUUAAUUUAAAAAUUUAUUUUGUUGGGGUGAUGAGAAGAUUAAAUUAACUCUUUUUAUUUUUAUAUAUUUAUGUAUAUAUAUUUGAUCCAUUUUUAUUGAUUACAAGACUAAAUUACC
This 368-nucleotide ribosomal RNA is filed under the name Cryptocercus tianbaensis. Its description in RNAcentral is "partial 16S large subunit ribosomal RNA". Lineage: Eukaryota; Metazoa; Arthropoda; Insecta; Blattodea; Cryptocercidae. The record is from RNAcentral.